AGGGCUUUGACUUGGCCUACAGAACAGUACAAUACAACUUUUGUGCAGAAUAUAAUUUAAGAUAACCAAACGAGAAUUAAAUCAAGCUAGAUGACUGACAGAUGCUUGUACAAGGCUUCCUGUUCUUUGUACACAUGCUCAUAGAGACGUUUGAACGCUUGUACAAAGCAUGCAUAAUCGAAAUACUAUCAAGCAUCAAGCUGCUUGUACAGUCCUAAUGCUUGUGCAGAUUUUUUGUACACACGCGUAAGCAUGUUUGGGCCAGUACACUUCCUUGCUUGUCGAACAUGUAGUUAUUGGUGUGGGGUCACAUUAAAACGUAAUCCGAGUAUGACGUAAAUCUGAGUAAUGUUGCAAACCCCUUGAAGAAAUUUGCAACUGUUUUGCCAUAGAAAAGUUUGUAGAACUGCAUUUUACAGCAUCGAAAUUGUACUGGAUCGUACGCAAGGAUGUUAAUGGAAUGUGAAAUAAUAGUUUGGCACAUGCGUAUGAGUUUUGUUGGUAUAUAAUGGAUCAUUGUGCUGCAACAUUUUGUAUAACUAGGCUAGCGACUAGAAGAUACAGCGAAUCACGCGUUUUACUGUUUUUGUGCCUUACAAUGAUGUUUGGUUUGUGUUCCACGAACUGUACUGAGCUUAAAAACCAUUAGUACUGACAACUUUUUGUUGUGCCAAUCUGCGACUCAGCAUCUCCGCUCUAUGUUACAGAAGCGCACACCUAAUUUUAGAUUCGAUGAAGACACAUAUUGGAGGGUGUCAUGAUUCCUGCAGAAUGUCAAAUGAAGAUUUUUGCAUAUGUGCUAUCGAAAGUGAAGAAUUGGUAGCGAAACAGAAUACCAAGUGGAGAAAGACGAUUGCACCAAAUUUUCGACUUGCCAGUACCCUCAGAUUUCUGGCAGCAGGAGACAGUUUUAAAAGCCUUCAGUACCUAAUUACAGUUUCGUCACAGAUUUUUUCGAGUAUAGGUCCAGAGGUUUGCAGUGACACUAUUAAAGUGCUGCAAGGAAAUGGAAAGAUGCCAAAAACAUGGACAGAAUGGACGAGAGUUGCAACAACAUGUGAAAAUCUUUGAAAUUUUCUCCAUUUUGCAUUGGUGCCCCUGGAUAGACACUGUAGCUGUACAGGCCCCUGCUAACAUGGAUGUGAAUUUUAGUUAUAAACACAGCACAAAUACAUUUGGGCUAUUGGUCAAUGUAUUUAAAGUGCUUCGGAAACCAAUGCUGCUUCAGCUAGAUAAAAGGUGAGGGUUGCCCAGAAAGUAAUGUUGACAACAAUGCUCCUGUGCGAAACAUUACAUAUAUACUAUUUGAAGUCUCCUAAGUGAGUACACCACAUUUGUCACUUCAGACAGCAUAUCUGCAGGGCAGUUUCAAAAUGGUGUCUACAGGUGAUGUACAGUACAAGCAACAUGCAGUUAUUGAAUUUCUCACUGCAGAGAAAGAAACUGUGGGGAAUAUUAACAAAUGCAUGUACAAUGUCAGUGAAACAUUUGCUGUCGAUAGAAGUACAGUUGGUCACUGGGCAUGGAGGGUGAGGUCAUCAGAAGGCAGUUUGGCAGAGAUCCACUAUUUGCAGCGGUCAAGGAGACCAUCCACGGCUGUAACACCUGAUAUGUUGCAGCGAGUUGCUGAUGUCAUUCACGAGGACGGGCGCAUUACAACUUAGCAGUUGGCGCUGCAUCUGUCAGUCACCAAAGGAUGUGUGGAUGCAGUUAUCUGUACUCAUAGAUAUUCAAAAGUGUGUAAAACAUGGGGUCUCACGAGGUCUAACGGUAGAUCACAAACUGCACAGAAAAAACAUUUGUCUCGAUUUGUUGCAAAAUUUUGAUGCUCAGGGGAAGCCUUCUUGCCCUGUAUUGCGACAGGUGAUGAAACCUGGGUUCUCCAUUUUUAGCCCGAAACAAAAUGACUCUUGAUGGAAUGGCAACAUUCCCACACCCCACAGAAGAAAAAAUUCAAAGCAACUGCUUCUGCUGGUAAGGUUAUGAUCGCCAUGUUCUGGGACUGUAGAGGUGUGAUUCUUAUUGGUGUGUUGCCAAGAGGCAGUACAUUUAAUUCAGAAGCAUAUGUGAACACAUUAACAAAACCCAAGCUGCGCUUCCGGUGACUUCAGUACCAUAGCAACCCAGGAGACGUUUCGCUGCAACAUGAUAACACUUGGUCCCAUACAAGUCUGAGGACUGCUGAACAGAUCGCAAAACGGGGUUGGACAGUUUAUCCCAUCCACCCUGCAGCCCCUCGGAUUUCCACUUGUUUGGACCAUUAAUGGAUGUCAUUCAUGGAAGACAUUUUUAGGACGAUGAGGGUGUGAUUCACAUAGUGAAGCAUCCGGCUGUACUACCAGGA
Long non-coding RNA from Schistocerca piceifrons (Central American locust), 2344 nucleotides. RefSeq lists it as uncharacterized. Lineage: Eukaryota; Metazoa; Arthropoda; Insecta; Orthoptera; Acrididae. The record is from RefSeq and is a predicted model, not a curated record. The transcript is spliced from 3 exons.